RNAcentral lists this long non-coding RNA (356 nucleotides) under Olea europaea (common olive). Its description in RNAcentral is "long non-coding RNA (OEUR_LNC009371)". Lineage: Eukaryota; Viridiplantae; Streptophyta; Magnoliopsida; Lamiales; Oleaceae. The record is from RNAcentral.
AAUUAAGUAAAAUCCACUAUUGACUUAGAAAACCAUUUUAAAUUAUGAUUUCAUUCUGGAAGUAACAAAAAGUGAGAGUAUGCAUACCCAGGACCUCGGCCAUAGCAUAAUUCAUUCUUCCCUCCACAGGUACUAUGAUUGAAGUCACAAGGCAACNUAUGCAUACCCAGGACCUCGGCCAUAGCAUAAUUCAUUCUUCCCUCCACAGGUACUAUGAUUGAAGUCACAAGGCAACCCUGUAUCUAUGCAGAAGGCCCCUAGUACAUUCGGGCUAACAUCCCCACAAUUGGCUUGGCAAAAUGCAGAAAUGAAUCUAGGCCUAUCAGCUCGUCUUAGAGAACUUCUUACACGUUUUG